GACGAACGCUGGCGGCGUGCUUAACACAUGCAAGUCGAACGGAAAGGCCCUGCUCUUGUGGGGUGCUCGAGUGUCGAACGGGUGAGUAACCCGUGAGUAACCUGCCCUUGACUUUGGGAUAACUUCAGGAAACUGGGGCUAAUACCGGAUAGGAGCUCCUGCUGCAUGGUGGGGGUUGGAAAGUGUCGGCGGUUGGGGAUGGACUCGCGGCUUAUCAGCUUGUUGGUGGGGUAGUGGCUUACCAAGGCUUUGACGGGUAGCCGGCCUGAGAGGGUGACCGGCCACAUUGGGACUGAGAUACGGCCCAGACUCCUACGGGAGGCAGCAGUGGGGAAUAUUGCACAAUGGGCGGAAGCCUGAUGCAGCAACGCCGCGUGCGGGAUGAAGGCCUUCGGGUUGUAAACAGCUUUCGCCUGUGACGAAGAGUGAGUGACGGUAAUGGGUAAAGAAGCACCGGCUAACUACGUG
RNAcentral lists this ribosomal RNA (468 nucleotides) under uncultured bacterium. Its description in RNAcentral is "partial 16S ribosomal RNA". It matches the Rfam family "Bacterial small subunit ribosomal RNA", at positions 28 to 507 of the family's 1533-position model. The record is from RNAcentral.